GUGAGGAAUUUUCCGCAAUGGGCGAAAGCCUGACGGAGCAAUGCCGCGUGAAGGAUGAAGGCCUAUGGGUUGUAAACUUCUUUUCUUAGAGAAGAAUAUUGACGGUAUCUGAGGAAUAAGCAUCGGCUAACUCUGUGCCAGCAGCCGCGGUAAGACAGAGGAUGCAAGCGUUAUCCGGAAUGAUUGGGCGUAAAGCGUCUGUAGGUGGCUUCAAACGUCUCGUGUAAAAGAUCAGGGCUUAACCCUGGGCCGGCAGGAGAAACUCUGAGGCUAGAGGUUGGUCGGGGCAGCGGGACUUCCCGGUGGCGCGGUUAAAUGCGUAGAGAUCGGGAGGAACACCAACGGCGAAAGCACUCUGCUGGGCCACAACUGACACUGAGAGACGAAAGCGAGGGGAGCAAAAGGGAUUAGAAACCCGGGUAGUCC
RNAcentral lists this ribosomal RNA (426 nucleotides) under uncultured bacterium. RNAcentral describes it as "partial 16S ribosomal RNA". It matches the Rfam family "Bacterial small subunit ribosomal RNA", at positions 354 to 796 of the family's 1533-position model. The record is from RNAcentral.